UACGGAGGGUGCGAGCGCUAAUCGGAAUUACUGGGCGUAAAGCGCGCGUAGGCGGCUUGAUAAGCCGGUUGUGAAAGCCUCGGGCUCAACCUGGGAACGGCAUCCGGAACUGUCAGGCUAGAGUACAGGAGAGGAAGGUAGAAUUCCCGGUGUAGCGGUGAAAUGCGUAGAGAUCGGGAGGAAUACCAGUUGCGAAGGCGGCCUUCUGGACUGACACUGACGCUGAGGUGCGAAAGCGGGGGUGGCAAACAGG
This 253-nucleotide unclassified non-coding RNA is filed under the name uncultured Halomonadaceae bacterium. RNAcentral's name for it is "contains 16S-23S intergenic spacer region". It matches the Rfam family "Bacterial small subunit ribosomal RNA", at positions 524 to 776 of the family's 1533-position model. The record is from RNAcentral. Lineage: Bacteria; Pseudomonadati; Pseudomonadota; Gammaproteobacteria; Oceanospirillales; Halomonadaceae.